CCUACGGGAGGCAGCAGUGAGGAAUAUUGGUCAAUGGGCGCGAGCCUGAACCAGCCAAGUAGCGUGAAGGAUGACUGCCCUACGGGUUGUAAACUUCUUUUAUAAAGGAAUAAAGUGAGGCACGUGUGCCUUUUUGUAUGUACUUUAUGAAUAAGGAUCGGCUAACUCCGUGCCAGCAGCCGCGGUAAUACGGAGGAUGCGAGCGUUAUCCGGAUUUAUUGGGUUUAAAGGGUGCGUAGGCGGAUCGUUAAGUCAGUGGUCAAAUUGAGGGGCUCAACCCCUUCCCGCCAUUGAAACUGGCGCUCUUGAGUGGAAGAGAAGUAUGCGGAAUGCGUGGUGUAGCGGUGAAAUGCAUAGAUAUCACGCAGAACCCCGAUUGCGAAGGCAGCAUGCCGGCUUCCGACUGACGCUGAAGCACGAAAGCGUGGGGAUCGAACAGGAUUAGAUACCCCUGUAGUC
This 459-nucleotide ribosomal RNA is filed under the name uncultured bacterium. Its description in RNAcentral is "partial 16S ribosomal RNA". It matches the Rfam family "Bacterial small subunit ribosomal RNA", at positions 338 to 795 of the family's 1533-position model. The record is from RNAcentral.